UGAAUACGAGAACUAACUAAUCACAGCAGUCAUGCCAUUCCAAAUUGUAAACAAAACGUUUGAAAAAGUCAUGGAACUUCUUCGGAAUUUCAAGAUCAAACGAAAGGUUCCCAUUUACAACGAGCGAAGGUUGGCAAAGAUGGGUCCACUAUCAAUAUCCUUUAUCAAAAUUCCAUCAAGUAUUAUGUGAACUGUGUUCUGAAACCGUACCUAGUGGACAGCGAAACAAGGCUGUGAUAAUGCUAGGGUCAAAGUCAAAGUAGAGAGCCUGAGGGACGUGUUGAAGACAUG
Uranotaenia lowii is the source of this 291-nucleotide long non-coding RNA. RefSeq lists it as uncharacterized. The record is from RefSeq and is a predicted model, not a curated record. The transcript is spliced from 3 exons. Lineage: Eukaryota; Metazoa; Arthropoda; Insecta; Diptera; Culicidae.